CCUAGACCGCCGGGCGCGGGGCCCCCGCGGAACGAAUUUCUGCUAAUGAACGAAACAAACAGGUCCUGUAAUCUUACCAUCAGGAUGACCCGACACUGGCACAGACACCCAGACCGUCCUAAUUGGCAGGUCAGGAUCAAAAUCCCAUACAUCACCGUGACUUGAUAGGUUGAGCGAAAAUGAGGUUCGAGUGUUACUUUUCCCAAUUCAUCAACAUGGUGCCACGAAAUAAGGAUUGCAGAAGGGAUCGUCUCCACCAGAAUGGACUAUCAUGCUGGAGACUGAUCUAAGGAACAGAGUCCAGGAAACUGGUGUUUACCAGGGAGAAAAGAGCUAAACUGAGAGUCAGACCCUGGGCUGCAGGCACCAUCCUGUGCCCUGCUAUGCUCUUUAUUCAAUAAGUUUCAGUUGCAUCAGGGCCAAGUGAUAGGCUUAAUUGAUGGUGCCACUUCCAAUUCAUCAAGUCCUCGGCUCUUACUUCAAAACAUAUCUAGUUCUUUCAAUUACUAAGUGUUCACAGUGUGUUAGCAUGAGAAUAUAUGAGUGAGGGAUCCCUGGGUGGCGCAGCGGUUUGGCGCCUGCCUUUGGCCCAGAGCGGGAUCCUGGAGACCCGGGAUCGAAUCCCACAUCGGGCUUC
Canis lupus familiaris (dog) is the source of this 637-nucleotide long non-coding RNA. RefSeq lists it as uncharacterized. Lineage: Eukaryota; Metazoa; Chordata; Mammalia; Carnivora; Canidae. The record is from RefSeq and is a predicted model, not a curated record. The transcript is spliced from 3 exons.